AUGUCCCCAAGAGUUCUUCACGAUGACAAUGAGAUGUUCCUGAGGGUCCGCCAUGGUGUCCAUGGGAUGUCCUUGAGGAGCCUCCAGGGUGACAACGAUGUCCCCAAAGCCACCGUGGUGUCCAUGGGAUGUCCCCAAGGGUCCACCAGGGUGACAACGAGAUGUCCCCAAAGCCACCCUGGUGUCCGUGGGAUGUCCUUGAGGAGCCUCCAGGGUGACAGAGAUGUCCCCAAAGCCACCGUGGUGUCCAUGGGAUGUCCCCAAAGCCACCGUGGUGUCCAUGGGAUGUCCCCAAAAGUCACCGUGGUGUCCAUGGGAUGUCCCCAAAGCCACCAUGGUGUCCAUGGGAUGUCCCCAAAGCCACCCUGGUGUCCGUGGGAUGUCCCCAAAGCCACCGUGGUGUCCAUGGGAUGUCCCCAAAGCCACCGUGGUGUCCAUGGGAUGUCCCCAAAAGUCACCGUGGUGUCCAUGGGAUGUCC
Molecule: long non-coding RNA, 479 nt
Filed under: Parus major (Great Tit)
Lineage: Eukaryota; Metazoa; Chordata; Aves; Passeriformes; Paridae
Description: lncRNA (ENSPMJG00000004495.1)
Source: RNAcentral